Molecule: unclassified non-coding RNA, 335 nt
Filed under: soil metagenome
Description: partial contains 5.8S ribosomal RNA, internal transcribed spacer 2, and large subunit ribosomal RNA
Rfam family: 5.8S ribosomal RNA (bases 1-120)
Source: RNAcentral
GAUGAAGAACGCAGCGAAAUGCGAUAAGUAAUGUGAAUUGCAGAAUUCAGUGAAUCAUCGAAUCUUUGAACGCACAUUGCGCCCGCCAGUAUUCUGGCGGGCAUGCCUGUUCGAGCGUCAUUUCAACCAUCAAGCCCCCGGCUUGUGUUGGGGACCUGCGGCUGCCGCAGGCCCUGAAAACCAGUGGCGGGCUCGCUAGUCACUCCGAGCGUAGUAAUACAUCUCGCUCAGGGCGUGCUGCGGGUUCCGGCCGUUAAAAAGCCUUAUUUACCCAAGGUUGACCUCGGAUCAGGUAGGAAGACCCGCUGACCUUAAGCAUAUCAAUAAGCGGAGGA